AGCAGCCACCUUUAAAAAAGCGUUAAAGCUUUAUUUUCCUUUUGUAUAAAUUCCACUACCUCACUUCAACCCAUAAGCCAUACUGAAUGAUUUCAUAACUAUAUGAAAGCCUAUAUGUUAGAACUAGUAACAAGAAGAAGCCCUUCUCCAAAAUGUAAGUAUAAGCCAAAAUGAACUACUCACUGGCAAUUAAAGUCAAUAAACUAUUAGUAGUAACUCAACAAGAAAAACCUACUAAUCACAACGUUAACCUUACACCAGCACAUUUCUGGAAAGAUUAAAAGGACGGGAAGGAACUCGGCAAACUAUUAACCCCGCCUGUUUACCAAAAACAUCGCCUCUUGCUUCCCAUAAGAGGUCCAGCCUGCCCAGUGACAAAGUUAAACGGCCGCGGUACCCUAACCGUGCAAAGGUAGCGCAAUCACUUGUUCUUUAAAUGAGGACUAGUAUGAACGGCAUCACGAGGGUUAUGCUGUCUCCCCGACCCAUUCAGUGAAACUGAUCUCCCCGUGAAGAAGCGGGGAUAAAAAUAUAAGACGAGAAGACCCCAUGGAGCUUUAAACUCAGAAUCAACUGCUACACAAAAUAACCUAAUAUUUAUGCAACUCUGAUUUCUAGUUUUCGGUUGGGGUGACCACGGAGUAAAAAUUAACCUCCACGAUGAAAGGAAAUAAUAACCUAAACCAAGAGCUACAGCUCUAAGUAUUAAUAAAUUAACCAAACUGAUCCAAUUACUUGAUCAACGAACCAAGUUACCCUGGGGAUAACAGCGCAAUCCAUUUCAAGAGCUCAUAUCGACAAAUGGGUUUACGACCUCGAUGUUGGAUCAGGAUAUCCCAGUGGCGCAGCCGCUACUAACGGUUC
RNAcentral lists this ribosomal RNA (864 nucleotides) under Microhyla achatina (Java rice frog). Its description in RNAcentral is "partial large subunit ribosomal RNA". It matches the Rfam family "Bacterial large subunit ribosomal RNA", at positions 1111 to 2574 of the family's 2925-position model. The record is from RNAcentral. Lineage: Eukaryota; Metazoa; Chordata; Amphibia; Anura; Microhylidae.